GCAACACCCGCCAAGAAGGACCUGAGGCAUGUUACCUGUUACAAGUGCGGGAAGACUGGGCAUUACGCCAACGAAUGUUCUGAGUUGAAGAAUGGCAAUGGAAAUGGAAACUCUGGGAAGAAGCCCAAUCCGUUCACCAGAAGUCAGGUGAACCAGAUCAAUGUGGAGGAGGUUGAAGAUCAACCUGACGAAGUGAUCGGUAAGUUUUUGAUUAAGUCAUUUACCACACUCAUUCUUUUCGAUACUGGUGCAUCGCAUUCAUACAUAUCAAGGGGAUUUGUGGACAAGUUUGCUACCUCUUGA
Molecule: ribosomal RNA, 303 nt
Filed under: Triticum aestivum (bread wheat)
Lineage: Eukaryota; Viridiplantae; Streptophyta; Magnoliopsida; Poales; Poaceae
Description: partial small subunit ribosomal RNA
Source: RNAcentral